RNAcentral lists this ribosomal RNA (439 nucleotides) under uncultured bacterium. RNAcentral describes it as "partial 16S ribosomal RNA". It matches the Rfam family "Bacterial small subunit ribosomal RNA", at positions 339 to 795 of the family's 1533-position model. The record is from RNAcentral.
CUACGGGUGGCACCAGUGAGGAAUAUUGCACAAUGGGGGGAACCCUGAUGCAGCAACGCCGCGUGGAGGAUGACGCAUUUCGGUGUGUAAACUCCUUUUAUAUGUCAAGAAAAUGACGGUAGCAUAUGAAUAAGCACUGGCUAACUCCGUGCCAGCAGCCGCGGUAAUACGGAGGGUGCAAGCGUUACUCGGAAUCACUGGGCGUAAAGGACGCGUAGGCGGGUUGGAAAGUCAGGUGUGAAAUCCUACAGCUUAACUGUAGAACUGCACUUGAAACUUCUAAUCUAGAGUAUGGGAGGGGGAGAUGGAAUUAGUGGUGUAGGGGUAAAAUCCGUAGAUAUCACUAGGAAUACCUAAAGCGGAGGCGAUCUCCUGGAACAUUACUGACGCUAAGGCGUGAAAGCGUGGGAAGCAAACAGGAUUAGAUACCCUAGUAGUC